Molecule: long non-coding RNA, 1966 nt
Organism: Solanum pennellii
Lineage: Eukaryota; Viridiplantae; Streptophyta; Magnoliopsida; Solanales; Solanaceae
Exons: 2
Source: RefSeq, a predicted model, not a curated record
AUUAUACAUAUCAUUGUCAUUCUUCAAGAUAUCCACAGAACAUUCUGAAGAAGGGAUACUUGCAGAUGAUAGUCUGGAGAAAUCUAAUGGAAAGUUAGGAAAAUUACUUACCUGUAUUCUGGCAUGGCGUAAUUUUUGUAAUCCUUAGCCUGCUGAUCUACCAUGGAAUAAAGAAAAAGGAUUUAAACCUCAUAAAGAAAGUUGGCAGGAAAGUUGGAACAAAGUGGCAACUAUAACAUGGAUUUUAACCGUGGCAAUUGUGUUGAAGAAUUUGAAAAACCAUUGUCUGAUUUAUCAACCAUAUCAAAGUGUCAUGUCCCGCCACUUUGCCAGUCAAAUUUUGCAUCUCGAUAGGAGCAGAAGAAUCUAGAGUUGUGGAGAGGCUUAUGGAGAACUCUAAAAUCCCUUUCAUAUUUCAAGAAGACUUUGGAAUAUUUGUAGAGAAUUCUAGAGGUACCAAAGUGAAAUACUUAGAGAUUUAUAAAGUAAUUAUUAAUUGCACUUUAGCCUCUAAAUUUUAGUAUAAAUAGAUGAACAUUCAUUUGCAAAGCAUCACUCAAGUUAUAAGCAAUAAAAAACUUCUUUCAAAAGCUCUCUAAUAAAGUAUUUCUUUACCUUCUCUUUGCUAUCUCUCUUUGCAAUUGCGAUCUAGCUUUUGUGAUUGCGAAGCUUACAAGAUAGUGAAAGAAUAUGAGUAAGUUGUCAAGUGUCACACGAAACAUUAGUUAGACUCUAAGUCCGUGACGAAAGAGCUACCAAUAACUUUUCAAUAGGCUGAAACUUUAGAUUGGAGAAGGGGCUUUUGACCUGUUCACAAGGUAUCAACACUUUAUGUAUGUUUAAGAAAUACAUCGAUUUAUUCCCAAAAGAUAAUCAUGCAUAGUAUAGAUGACAUACAAAAAACUUCCCGAACUUUCAGAGUAACGCUUCUCUUUAGUUUAGUGUACUUUCUCAUCAGGAUAGGUAAAGAAAAUGUUAACAUGAAGAUUGUGAUGUUUAGGGCAUAAUUGAAGGACAUGAAAUAACUGUCAAGCGGUUGUCUACAAGUAGAAAAUGAGUUCAAGAUAGGAAUCUGGUGAAGAUUGUUGGUUGUUGCAUUGAAGAUGGUGAAAAAAUAUUGAUAUAUGAGUACUUGCAUAAUUCUCUAUCCAAUAAUGUGUAAAUUAUAUACUAGUUGUGUUACAGUGAACUAAUACCUAUAGUAUUACUUCAGUAAUCUUAUUCCAAAUAUUCUGUUAAUGAGCUAACAAAAUUUUGGCAGAUGACACACAAAUCAAGGUAAUCAACAGUAUAGGUUGGGGACUUGUGUAUUUGCGUCAAGAUUCACAAUUAAGAAUAAUUCGUAGAAACCUGAAAACUAUUAACAUAUCAGACUUCGGCUUGGCAAAAGUAUGUGAAGGGAUGACAUUGGAGCCCAGACAAACCGAGUUAUUGUAACACAGUAGAAUAAAGAAACUCUUAUACUUGGUAGCAUUUUUUCCCUACCUAUUCUUACAUCCCGUGAGGACGAACAACUUUGAUGGGUGCGCAGUGACCACUGGGCCAAACGCUUCAGUGUUAUCAUUGGUUCCCAAGAAAUAUUUAUAUACGUUCUACUUCAUAAUUUAAUACAAAUAUAGAAUCUAUGAAAAAGCCAUUGGCUUCGGCCGAACCACCCUCGACUACCGUAGCUCCGCCCCUGUCUAUAAAAGAUCGUCCAAAAAUGUCAUAUGUUGUGAUGAUGUUAAACAAUGCACGGCUAAAUAACCAAGUUUUUACAUAGAUCCCAGAUAGUGAACAAUUAGCUCACUUGUUUGCAACACACUUUGUAGCAGUACAUGUGACUAAGCUUGCAACAUGCUGCCAUCUGACAUUGAAUGUUUCCACCAAAUUCAAUACAUAUCAAUAUUUGUUGGCUUGUUAUAUUAAUGAACCUUAUUUAUUAAUUUGAUGUAAAUAUCAAAUAAAACUAUUUUUGUGGACCUUA